GUCUUUCCUAAUUUUUCAGCACAUAACUGGACAACAUACAAUUAAAUGAUUUUACCAUUACAUUGAACUCUGAGUUUCUGUCAACUCUUAUAUCAUGUGUAUAUCAUGUUCUAUUUAAGUUUCUGUUCAUUUUAGACAGCAGCGUGUGAACGGGACUUUUAUUUUGGUGUGGUGGCGUGACGUCAUAAGGCUGCGGCGCGCUCUCGCGUCUGUUAUGACUCGACUGAAGAAAGGUUUGUGUUUAAAGCUUUUAAAGUGCAGAAACCGUUCAGUCAACGCUAAAGUUGUAUAAACUCGGUAGAAUUUAAUGUUUAUUGUUGACUGUAAGUUAAUGAACUGCAGCUUUAUCUAAAAUGUGUGUAUUUCUAAAGAUUAUCUUUGUGAGUAAAUCUACACUCGAUCUAGUUUCACUCCGUAUCGUGCUUCAGUUUGUCGUAAACACGAAUUGAGUCGCUGGCUUUUAAACGCGAGUCAGUUUAAUCAGCGCAUUCUGCUCAAAACCGUCUAAUUCAACACAAGCGUAACGAAAGAGGAAAUAUUUUCAUAAAAGUGCAGUGAAAGUCAUCAGAUACCAAACAGAAGUCAUUCAUGUUACCUUUCAUUAGAACUUCAUUCAUUCAUUACGUACUAGUUUUGAGUGUUUUUGUCUAAGUUAGCUCAUUUAGGAGUGUGUACACUUGCAACAUAUUGCUAUUUUAAUUUGGAUUAUUUUAUUUAUAAUUAUUAUUUUAUUAUUAUAUUUAAUAUAAAUAUUUUGACAGUUCUGCAGCUGUUACCUAAUUCAUUUGCUUAAAUAAGGACUACAUUAUUAUGUAAUUAUUUGUCCCAUUUUUAUCCAAACACCCAGAAAAACUCCUGCUGAAGCGACUGAGAUCCACCUGACACACUGUGAUAAAGAUGGCGUUUAUUAAAGAGGAGAGUGAAGACAUUAAGAUUAAAGACGUAUUCAGCAUGAAAGAAGAAGAUACUGAGACACGAAUGAAGAUGGCGUUUAUUACAGAGGAGAGUGAAGACAUGAGGACUGAAGAAACAUUCAGCACGAAACGAGAAGAUACGCAGACACAAACAAACCUGGUGUUUAUUAAAGACGAGAGUGAAAACAUUAGGAUCGAAGACGUGUUCAGCAUCACAUGUGAAGAUAUAGAGACACAAACGUCUAUUCGAGAGAAGAAUAAAGGCAUGAAGACACAAACGUCUAUUAGAGAGAAGAGAGAAGACACGAAGAAGAAGAAACCAUUCAGAGUCAAGCAUGAAGAUGCUGAGACACAAACAGGUGGAACCACUAUAUGGAGGCAUUCAGCAUGGAACCAUCAUCUGCACAGUUCACACUGCAUCUAAGAAGAAAAACAGAAAUAUGAUGUGAGAUUGUACCCUGUUAGUAAUUUUUUUAGAAUUUGUAUUUAUUUCUUUCUUUCUUGUUGUUGUUAUGAUUGUUAUUCAUUGGCAAUUUAAAAAAAAAGAAAAAUAUUACCCAGAUGCAGUGCUCCUCUUUUUGGACUCCUCCUUUUUGUCCACAGACAGAACAAUACUCUUCCCUUGACACUGCAAUUUUUUUUUAAGUUAAUCAGAGUAUACUGUAAUUCUGAGUACAAUACAAGUAAACAACCAUAAUUUCAUAAUUCUUUUGAAAAUAAUACCUGAUGCCAGCAUUGGGGAAGUUCUCCACCACCUGUUUGGCCAUCUACACAGCAGUACACAGCAGUAAUGAAAACCCCACAGUAGCAACACCGUCAUCUGUACUCUUUUCUGUCAUUACCUGCAUCACAAAGACGCCACAGCUCACACAGUCUUCCUGAAACGUGUGACGUAUUGUGCUGGGCUUCCAUUUUAGGUUUAUGCAGUCCUCUCUUGCAUGUUGGUUCCUUCUCAUUUUGAAGAAUUCACUAAAGUUGUUAAAAUACAUUGAAUCAAUGUUUUGUGAUAGUGUUCCAUAAUUUUAUGAUGGACCUUAAUAGUCACAGGAUGUUGGGCAGGGGGUGGAUCAGAGCAUAAUGUACCUGAAUCUGUGACAUGCCUGUGAGGCUUUCUUCAUUUCAGCAGCACCUCGUUGACACAAAGAUAGUUUCGGAUGUAGCAUGUAUGAACUAG
Molecule: long non-coding RNA, 2088 nt
Organism: Cyprinus carpio (common carp)
Lineage: Eukaryota; Metazoa; Chordata; Actinopteri; Cypriniformes; Cyprinidae
Source: Ensembl